UUGACCUCAAAUCGGGUGAGACUACCCGCUGAAC
RNAcentral lists this ribosomal RNA (34 nucleotides) under Lactarius acerrimus. Its description in RNAcentral is "partial 25S ribosomal RNA". Lineage: Eukaryota; Fungi; Basidiomycota; Agaricomycetes; Russulales; Russulaceae. The record is from RNAcentral.